UGUAAACGUUUUACAAUAAUAAUGUUCUUAAAUUUCUUUAAUUAAAGAGAAUAACAUUAUUCUUUUUAUCUGAGAAAAAAUAUUUAAAAGGAGGAAGAACAAGA
Molecule: small RNA, 104 nt
Filed under: Streptococcus mutans UA159
Lineage: Bacteria; Bacillati; Bacillota; Bacilli; Lactobacillales; Streptococcaceae
Description: Streptococcus sRNA SSRC34
Rfam family: Streptococcus sRNA SSRC34
About the family: It is based on computationally predicted coordinates (RNAz).
Source: Rfam by way of RNAcentral